CAACUUUCAACAAUGGAUCUCUUGGUUCUCACAUCGAUGAAGAACGCAGCGAAUUGCGAUAUGUAAUGUGAAUUGCAGAAUUCAGUGAAUCAUCGAAUCUUUGAACGCACAUUGCACCCUCUGGUAUUCUGGAGGGUAUGCCUGUUUGAGUGUCAUUA
This 158-nucleotide ribosomal RNA is filed under the name Clavaria echino-olivacea. RNAcentral's name for it is "5.8S ribosomal RNA". It matches the Rfam family "5.8S ribosomal RNA". From Rfam's summary of the family: 5.8S ribosomal RNA (5.8S rRNA) is a component of the large subunit of the eukaryotic ribosome. It is transcribed by RNA polymerase I as part of the 45S precursor that also contains 18S and 28S rRNA. Functionally, it is thought that 5.8S rRNA may be involved in ribosome translocation. The record is from RNAcentral. Lineage: Eukaryota; Fungi; Basidiomycota; Agaricomycetes; Agaricales; Clavariaceae.